Molecule: non-coding RNA, 46 nt
Organism: Manacus vitellinus (golden-collared manakin)
Lineage: Eukaryota; Metazoa; Chordata; Aves; Passeriformes; Pipridae
Source: Rfam
GCAAUGGUUUUUUUUAAAACCAUUUUCAGUAAACUAAAAAAAUAAU